RNAcentral lists this long non-coding RNA (5981 nucleotides) under Citrus x clementina. Its description in RNAcentral is "Citrus clementina (C. clementina) long non-coding RNA (CCLE_LNC002228)". The record is from RNAcentral. Lineage: Eukaryota; Viridiplantae; Streptophyta; Magnoliopsida; Sapindales; Rutaceae.
AGCCCACCCGUUUUUUGGCCAUUUUUCCGCUGGGGGGUCUUGGGACCCCGACCUUCGGGGGCUGAUUUUUGGGCGCGGCUGUGCCCGUGGCCUAUUUUUCGCACACAGAGGCCGCCCGCCAAGUAUGGUGCCAUUCCGAGUCCCGCGGACGAACUUCGCCCACACCCCCCACCAAGGCUAUAGCCCACCCGUUUUUUGGCCAUUUUUCCGCUGGGGGGUCUUGGGACCCCGACCUUCGGGGGAUGAUUUUUGGGCGCGGCUGUGCCCGUGGCCUAUUUUUGGCACACGGAGGCCGCCCGCCAAGUCAGGGGCCAUUCCGAGUCCCGCGGACGAACUUCGCCCACGCCGCCCACCAAGGCUAUAGCCCACCCGUUUUUUGGCCAUUUUUCCGCUGGGGGAUCUUGGGACCCCGACCUUCGGGGGCUGAUUUUUGGGCGCGGCUGUGCCCGUGGCCUAUUUUUGGCACACAGAGGCCGCCCGCCAAGUAUGGUGCCAUUCCGAGUCCCGCGGAUGAACUUCGCCCACGCCGCCCACCAAGGCUAUAGCCCACCCGUUUUUUGGCCAUUUUUCCGCUGGGGGGUCUUGGGACCCCGACCUUCGGGUGCUGAUUUUAGGGCGCGGCUGUGCCCGUGGCCUAUUUUUGGCACACAGAGGCCGCCCGCCAAGUAUGGUGCCAUUCCGAGUCCCGCGGACGAACUUCGCCCACGCCGCCCACCAAGGCUAUAGCCCACCCGUUUUUUGGCCAUUUUUCCGCUGGGGGGUCUUGGGACCCCGACCUUCGGGUGCUGAUUUUUGGGCGCGGCUGUGCCCGUGGCCUAUUUUUUGGCACACAGAGGGCCGCCCGCCAAGUCAGGGUGCCAUUCCGAGUCCCGCGGACGAAGUUCGCCCACGCCCCCCACCAAGGCUAUAGCCCACCCGUUUUUUGGCCAUUUUUCCGCUGGGGGGUCUUGGGACCCCGACCUUCGGGGGCUGAUUUUUGGGCGCGGCUGUGCCCGUGGCCUAUUUUUGGCACACGGAGGCCGCCCGCCAAGUCAGGGGCCAUUCCGAGUCCCGCGGACGAAGUUCGCCCACGCCCCCCACCAAGGCUAUAGCCCACCCGUUUUUUGGCCAUUUUUCCGCUGGGGGGUCUUGGGACCCCAACCUUCGGGGGCUGAUUUUUGAGCGCGGCUGUGCCCGUGGCCUAUUUUUGGCACACGGAGGCCGCCCGCCAAGACAGGGGCCAUUCCGAGUCCCGCGGACGAACUUCGCCCACGCCGCCCACCAAGGCUAUAGCCCACCCGUUUUUUGGCCAUUUUUCCGCUUGGGGGUCUUGGGACCCCGACCUUCGGGGGCUGAUUUUUGAGCGCGGCUGUGCCCGUGGCCUAUUUUUGGUACACGGAGGCCGCCCGCCAAGUCUGGUGCCAUUCCGAGUCCCGCGGACGAACUUCGCCCACGCCGCCCACCAAGGCUAUAGCCCACCCGUUUUUUGACCAUUUUUCCGCUGGGGGGUCUUGGGACCCCGACCUUCGGGGGCUGAUUUUUGGGCGCGGCUGUGCCCGUGGCCUAUUUUUGGCACACAGAGGCCGCCCGCCAAGUAUGGUGCCAUUCCGAGUCCCGCGGACGAACUUCGCCCACGCCCCCCACCAAGGCUAUAGCCCACCCGUUUUUUGGCCAUUUUUCCGCUGGGGGGUCUUGGGACCCCGACCUUCGGGGGCUGAUUUUUGGGCGCGGCUGUGCCCGUGGCCUAUUUUUGGCACACAGAGGCCGCCCGCCAAGUAUGGUGCCAUUCCGAGUCCCGCGGACGAACUUCGCCCACGCCGCCCACCAAGGCUAUAGCCCACCCGUUUUUUGGCCAUUUUUCCGCUGGGGGGUCUUGGGACCCCGACCUUCGGGGGCUGAUUUUUGGGCGCGGCUGUGCCCGUGGCCUAUUUUUGGCACACGGAGGCCGCCCGCCAAGUCAGGGGCCAUUCCGAGUCCCGCGGACGAAGUUCGCCCACGCCCCACACCAAGGCCAUAGCCCACCCGUUUUUUGGCCAUUUUUCCGCUGGGGGGUCUUGGGACCCCGACCUUCGGGGGCUGAUUUUUGGGCGCGGCUGUACCCGUGGCCCAGUUUUGGCACACGGAGGCCGCCCGCCAAGUCAGGGGCCAUUCCGAGUCCCGCGGAUGAAGUUCGCCCACGCCCCCCACCAAGGCUAUAGCCCACCCGUUUUUUGGCCAUUUUUCCACUGGGGGGUCUUGGGACCCCGACCUUCGGGGGCUGAUUUUUGUACGCGGCUGUGCCCGUGGCCUAUUUUUGGCACACAGAGGCCGCCCGCCAAGUAUGGUGCCAUUCCGAGUCCCGCGGACGAACUUCGCCCACGCCCCCCACCAAGGAUAUAGCCCACCCGUUUUUUGGCCAUUUUUCCGCUGGGGGGUCUUGGGACCCCGACCUUCAGGGGCUGAUUUUUGGGCGCGGCUGUGCCCGUGGCCUAUUUUUGGCACACGGAGGCCGCCCGCCAAGUCAGGGGCCAUUCCGAGUCCCGCGGACGAAGUUCGCCCACGCCCCCCACCAAGGCUAUAGCCAACCCGUUUUUUGGCCAUUUUUCCGCUGGGGGGUCUUGGGACCCCGACCUUCGGGGGCUGAUUUUUGGGCGCGGCUGUGCCCGUGGCCUAUUUUUGGCACACAGAGGCCGCCCGCCAAGUAUGGUGCCAUUCCGAGUCCCGCGGACGAACUUCGCCCACGCCGCCCACCAAGGCUAUAGCCCACCCGUUUUUUGGCCAUUUUUCCGCUGGGGGGUCAUGGGACCCCGACCUUCGGGGGCUGAUUUUUGGGCGCGGCUGUGCCCGUGGCCUAUUUUUGGCACACAGAGGCCGCCCGCCAAGUAUGGUGCCAUUCCGAGUCCCGCGGACGAACUUCGCCCACGCCCCCCACCAAGGCUAUAGCCCACCCGUUUUUUGGCCAUUUUUCCGCUGGGGGGUCUUGGGACCCCGACCUUCGGGGGCUGAUAUUUGGGCGCGGCUGUGCCCGUGGCCCAGUUUUGGCACACGGAGGCCGCCCGCCAAGUCGGGGGCCAUUCCGAGUCCCGCGGAUGAAGUUCGCCCACGCCCCCCACCAAGGCUAUAGCCCACCCGUUUUUUGGCCAUUUUUCCGCUGGGUGGUCUUGGGACCCCGACCUUCGGGGGCUGAUUUUUGGGCGCGGCUGUGCCCGUGGCCUAUUUUUGGCACACAGAGGCCGCCCGCCAAGUAUGGUGCCAUUCCGAGUCCCGCGGACGAACUUCGCCCACGCCGCCCACCAAUUCUAUAGCCCACCCGUUUUUUGGCCAUUUUUCCGCUGGGGGGUCUUGGGACCCCGACCUUCGGGGGCUGAUUUUUGGGCGCGGCUGUGCCCGUGGCCUAUUUUUGGCACACGGAGGCCGCCCGCCAAGUCAGGGGCCAUUCCGAGUCCCGCGGACGAAGUUCGCCCACGCCGUCCACCAAGGCUAUAGCCCACCCGUUUUUUGGCCAUUUUUCCACUGGGGGGUCUUGGGACACCGACUUUCGGGUGCUGAUUUUUGGGCGCGGCUGUGCCCGUGGCCUAUUUUUGGCACACAGAGGCCGCCCACCAAGUAUGGUGCCAUUCCGAGUCCCGCGGACGAACUUCGCCCACGCCCCCCACCAAGGCUAUAGCCCACCCGUUUUUUGGCCAUUUUUCCGCUGGGGGGUCUUGGGACCCCGACCUUCGGGGGCUGAUUUUUGGGCGCGGCUGUGCCCGUGGCCUAUUUUUGGCACACGGAGGCCGCCCGCCAAGUCAGGGGCCAUUCCGAGUCCCGCGGACGAACUUCGCCCACGCCGCCCACCAAGGCUAUAGCCCACCCGUUUUUUGGCCAUUUUUCCGCUGGGGGGUCUUGGGACCCCGACCUUCGGGGGCUGAUUUUUGGGCGCGGCUGUGCCCGUGGCCUAUUUUUGGCACACAGAGGCCGCCCGCCAAGUACGGUGCCAUUCCGAGUCCCGCGGACGAACUUCGCCCACGCCGCCCACCAAGGCUGUAGCCCACCCGUUUUUUGGCCAUUUUUCCGCUGGGGGGUCUUGGGACCCCGACCUUCGGGGGCUGAUUUUUGGGCGCGGCUGUGCCCGUGGCCUAUUUUUGGCACACGGAGGCCGCCCGCCAAGUCAGGGGCCAUUCCGACUCCCGCGGACGAAGUUCGCCCACGCCCCCCACCAAGGCUAUAGCCCACCCGUUUUUGGCCAUUUUUCCGCUGGGGGGUCUUGGGACCCCGACCUUCGGGGGCUGAUUUUUGGGCGCGGCUGUGCCCGUGGCCUAUUUUUAGCACACAGAGGCCGCCCGCCAAGUAUGGUGCCAUUCCGAGUCCCGCGGACGAACUUCGCCCACGCCCCCCACCAAGGCUAUAGCCCACCCGUUUUUUGGCCAUUUCUCCGCUGGUGGGUCUUGGGACCCCGACCUUCGGGGGCUGAUUUUUGGGCGCGGCUGUGCCCGUGGCCUAUUUUUGGCACACGGAGGCCGCCCGCCAAGUCAGGGGCCAUUCCGAGUCCCGCGGACGAAGUUCGCCCACGCCCCCCACCAAGGCUAUAGCCCACCCGUUUUUUGGCCAUUUUUCCACUGGGGGGUCUUGGGACCCCGACCUUCGGGGGCUGAUUUUUGGGCGCGGCUGUGCCCGUGGCCUAUUUUUGGCACACAGAGGCCGCCCGCCAAGUAUGGUGCCAUUCCGAGUCCCGCGGACGAACUUCGCCCACACCCCCAACAAGGCUAUAGCCCACCCGUUUUUUGGCCAUUUUUCCGCUGGUGGGUCUUGGGACCCCGACCUUCGGGGGCUGAUUUUUGGGCGCGGCUGUGCCCGUGCCCUAUUUUUGGCACACGGAGGCCGCCCGCCAAGUCAGGGGCCAUUCCGAGUCCCGCGGACGAAGUUCGCCCACGCCCCCCACCAAGGCUAUAGCCCACCCGUUUUUUGGCCAUUUUUCCACUGGGGGGUCUUGGGACCCCGACCUUCGGGGGCUGAUUUUUGUGCGCGGCUGUGCCCGUGGCCUAUUUUUGGCACACAGAGGCCGCCCGCCAAGUAUGGUGCCAUUCCGAGUCCCGCGGACGAACUUCGCCCACGCCCCCCACCAAGGCUAUAGCCCACCCGUUUUUUGGCCAUUUUUUCGCUGGGGGGUCUUGGGACCCCGACCUUCGGGGGCUGAUUUUUGGGCGCGGCUGUGCCCGUGGCCUAUUUUUGGUACCCGGAGGCCGCCCGCCAAGUCAGGGGCCAUUCCGAGUCCCGCGGACGAAGUUCGCCCACGCCCCCCACCAAGGCUAUAGCCCACCCGUUUUUUGGCCAUUUUUCCGCUGGGGGGUCUUGGGACCUCGACCUUCGGGGGCUGAUUUUUGGGCGCGGCUGUGCCCGUGUCCUAUUUUUGGCACACGGAGGCCGCCCGCCAAGUCAGGUGCCAUUCCGAGUCCCGCGGACGAAGUUUGCCCACGCCCCCCACCAAGGCUAUAGCCCACCCGUUUUUUGGCCAUUUUUCCGCUGGGGGGUCUUGGGACCCCGACCUUCGGGGGCUGAUUUUUGGGCGCGGCUGUGCCCGUGGCCUAUUUUUGGCACACAGAGGCCGCCCGCCAAGUAUGGUGCCAUUCCGAGUCCCGCGGACGAACUUCGCCCACGCCGCCCACCAAGGCUAUAGCCCACCCGUUUUUUGACCAUUUUUCCGCUGGGGGGUCUUGGGACCCCGACCUUCGGGGGCUGAUUUUUGGGCGCGGCUGUGCCCGUGGCCUAUUUUUGGUACCCGGAGGCCGCCCGCCAAGUCAGGGGCCAUUCCGAGUCCCGCGGACGAAGUUCGCCCUCUCCCCCCACCAAGGCUAUAGCCCACCCGUUUUUUGGCCAUUUUUCCGCUGGGGGGUCUUGGGACCUCGACCUUCGGGGGCUGAUUUUUGGGCGCGGCUGUGCCCGUGUCCUAUUUUUGGCACACGGAGGCCGCCCGCCAAGUCAGGGGCCAUUCCGAGUCCCGCGGACGAAGUUCGCCCACGCCCCCCACCAAGGCUAUAGCCCAC